This is a non-coding RNA of Arachis ipaensis, 1311 nucleotides long. The record is from RefSeq and is a predicted model, not a curated record. NCBI's taxonomy places the organism in Eukaryota, Viridiplantae, Streptophyta, Magnoliopsida, Fabales, Fabaceae.
AAUUUUUAAAUUGAAUUAGAAACCUAAUUCCCAAAUUGAAGAACCCUAACCCUAAUCCCUCCUCACCACACUCAGCCGCAUCCCCUUUCCCUUUAAUCCCUUUCAAACGUAACACAGCAGCAGAGAAGGAGAGCUGUGAUCGAAAAAGAGGAAGAGCCACGCUGCCGCCGCUGUCCAGCCGCCUCGCCACCACCGUCGCGCCAUCGUCGCUCCCAGCUCGCCGCCAUCCUCCACGUCGUUGCCGCCACUGUUCGCAAAGAGGAGAGAGAGAGACGUUGAGACAGAGUAGCGCCGAGAGGGAGAGGAGCUUCCAUCAUCGUCAAUUCGUGCUAGCCAGAGGAAGCCGCUGCCGCCGAUGAGUUGUCGCCGCUGUGACGCGUCCGAGAGGAGAGGAGUCGUGCGUUAAAAGCCGUCGCGUCUUGCCGCCAAGGGUUCCAUCGCAGCCAACCCGUCGCAGUUGGUGUCGCCGUCGUGCCUGUUGGAUUCCACCGUGGAGAAGAGAACGACACGAGGGAGAGAGGGAGACAGAGCCGUGCGAGCCAGAGGAGGCACUGUCCUCGCUGUUGCUGCCACGGUCGCUGGUGAGUCGUGCACCGCCAUCAGAGUCAGAAGACAGCAUCAGCCUUCUUGUUCUGGUUCCGAUUCCUCCAUUUCUAAAAUUUUCUGCCACUUUGCUUCAAAAUUGCUGUUGUAACUCGUAUUGGUUUUGGGACUGUUGUGGCUGCUGCUGGUUUUGUUCGAGGCUACUGCUGCUGUGAGAAAGGAAAAAGGAAUUUGUCACGGUUAAGGAAUUCUUCAAGUUUCGGUUAUUUGAGGAAGAAUGGAGAUGUACCCCAAGUGAGUUAAAUACUUCUGCAAUAAAUAAUUCAUGUCAAUGCUAUUACAAAGGAAGAUUUCCUUGCUCGGUUGCUCCCAAUGAACUUGAACCUUUUAAGAAUUUUUCUUCUCAGCUUGCUGCUUUGGACUUUAUUGCAUGUGCAACUGCUGAUGUAUUUUCCAUGACAGAUUCUGGUACCAACUCUCAGCAAUGGUGUCUGGAUUCAGAAGCUACUAUGGUGGCGAUCAUGCUCCCACUUUGAGGCCUAAUUAACAAGAAGAGGCUGGCAUGUGUAGACAACCUUAACACCAUCAAUCAACACAUUCACGCACCCAUUGUAUAAUAUUAGACUAAGACCAGCCCAAUGCACAUGGAGCUGAAUUACUUAUACUAGUAGUAUAGAUCUAAAAAUGUUAUUACUUAUAACUUAAUUUAUGUAUAAUUUUAUUGAUAUGUUAGUUGGUUAAUUUAAUCACAACUUAUCUUAAUUGUUG